UACAGAGGUCUCAAGCGUUGUUCGGAUUUACUGGGCGUAAAGGGUGCGUAGGCGGUGGCGAAAGUCUGAUGUGAAAGCUCGGAGCCUAACUCCGAAAUGGCAUUGGAAACUGCGUCGCUGGAGGCUUGGAGGGGGGACUGGAAUACUUGGUGUAGCAGUGAAAUGCGUAGAGAUCAUGAGGAAGACCAGUGGCGAAGGCGGGUCUCUGGACAGUUCCUGACACUGAGACACGAAGGCCAGGGGAGCAAACGGG
This 253-nucleotide ribosomal RNA is filed under the name uncultured bacterium. Its description in RNAcentral is "partial 16S ribosomal RNA". It matches the Rfam family "Bacterial small subunit ribosomal RNA", at positions 524 to 776 of the family's 1533-position model. The record is from RNAcentral.